UACGGAGGGUGCGAGCGUUGUUCGGAAUCACUGGGCGUAAAGGGCGUGUAGGCGGUCUGUUAAGUCUGAUGUGAAAGCCCGGGGCUCACCCCCGGAAGUGCAUUGGAUACUGGCGGACUCGAGUCCCGGAGAGGAGGGUGGAAUUCCUGGUGUAGCGGUGAAAUGCGUAGAUAUCAGGAGGAACACCGGUGGCGAAGGCGGCUUUCUGGACAGAAACUGACGCUGAUGCGCGAAAGCUAGGGGAGCAAACAGG
RNAcentral lists this ribosomal RNA (253 nucleotides) under uncultured bacterium. RNAcentral describes it as "partial 16S ribosomal RNA". It matches the Rfam family "Bacterial small subunit ribosomal RNA", at positions 524 to 776 of the family's 1533-position model. The record is from RNAcentral.